CAAUAGCGUAUAUUAAAGUUGUUGCAGUUAAAAAGCUCGUAGUUGGAUUUGUGGCGUACGGUGUGUUCCGGGCACUUGUUGUCUGAGUAACCUGCUGUUGCCAUCCUUGGGUGGAACCUGUGUGGCAUUAGGUUGUCGUGCAGGGGAUGCCCAUCAUUUACUGUGAAGAAAUUAGAGUGUUCAAAGCAGGCUUAUGCCGUUGAAUAUAUUAGCAUGGAAUAAUGAGAUAGGACUUUUUUGCUAUUUUGUUGGUUUGCGCAAAGAGGUAAUGAUUAAUAGGGACAGUUGGGGGUAUUCGUAUUCCAUUGUCAGAGGUGAAAUUCUUGGAUUUUUGGAAGACGAACUACUGCGAAAGCAUUUACCAAGGAUGUUUUCAUUAA
Molecule: ribosomal RNA, 380 nt
Filed under: uncultured eukaryote
Lineage: Eukaryota
Description: partial 18S ribosomal RNA
Rfam family: Eukaryotic small subunit ribosomal RNA
Source: RNAcentral